UAGGGUGUAACUCAGUGGUAGGGCACUUGCCUGGCAUGCUGGAGGCUCUGGGUUCAAUUCCCAACACUGCAA
This 72-nucleotide transfer RNA is filed under the name Heterocephalus glaber (naked mole-rat). It matches the Rfam family "tRNA". From Rfam's summary of the family: Transfer RNA (tRNA) molecules are approximately 80 nucleotides in length. Lineage: Eukaryota; Metazoa; Chordata; Mammalia; Rodentia; Bathyergidae. The record is from Rfam by way of RNAcentral.